AGUGAAGUAUGUGUUGAGUUUUCUCAAUAUAUUUAAGUAUUUUUUAGUAUUAUGUCAUGAUAUUAUCGAUAAUUUCGAUAAUAUCGUGAUAUUAUCGAUAAUAUCGCGAUAUUUUGACGAAAAUCAUAUGGAUAGUUAAAAAAAUUUCGGACCACUAAAAAAACAAUAAUAUCGGCGAUAUUUCGCCGAUAUUAUCGAUAUUUUCUUCCUUGGUUACAACGCACUACUAAUAGAAAAC
This 238-nucleotide long non-coding RNA is filed under the name Malus domestica (apple). RNAcentral describes it as "long non-coding RNA (MDOM_LNC015762)". The record is from RNAcentral. Lineage: Eukaryota; Viridiplantae; Streptophyta; Magnoliopsida; Rosales; Rosaceae.